AUAUCACACUAUCCAUUGGUUC
RNAcentral lists this non-coding RNA (22 nucleotides) under Gossypium hirsutum (cotton). Lineage: Eukaryota; Viridiplantae; Streptophyta; Magnoliopsida; Malvales; Malvaceae. The record is from RNAcentral.